Molecule: long non-coding RNA, 1109 nt
Organism: Musa acuminata AAA Group (dessert banana)
Lineage: Eukaryota; Viridiplantae; Streptophyta; Magnoliopsida; Zingiberales; Musaceae
Exons: 6
Source: RefSeq, a predicted model, not a curated record
UAGGCUUCCUCAAUUAUCUCCCAUGCGACCUAUCCAAUCUCCACUGACGAAGCCCGUCACGCCGGCCGCAGAGCAAUCUCCUUUGCCGCCGUGACGAGGUCGGCCGCAUCGCGAUAGGGCUGCGAGGGGCGCCACGAGACUGCCGAUUGUCCUUCAAAUCCGUUACUCAGCACAGUUGCUGGAUCUUAUGCUUUUCUUUGGAUGCCAAUGGAGAUGGUACUGCUUUACAAAUUCAGUUAGUGAGCACCUGAAAUAGUUGAUGCUGGCAUGGAUGCCACGAGUGAUUGGGUUGACAAUGAGCACCGGGAGGGGCUCUUCAAUGCGUGGUAAAAACUUCCACUGGGAAUCAUGGAGCUCUUCAGAUAAUGUGCAUGGGUGUUGAUGCAUCGGAGAAGUUGACCUGGGCGUGUAUUCAGCCUGAAAUUUUCAGGUACCAUCUUCAUUUUCGGAUCCAAUUAUUUUAUCAGAUCUUAUUUUUUACCUGAUAAUGUGCCGAACCAACGUAUGGUGUGUGGAUCCUCAAUUUGGAUCUGUGAUCUGCAAACCUAUCAGAUUCAACUAAAAGAGCUAGGACUUAGGUGGAUCCGACCUGGUUCAGUAGCUCAGGUUCACAGGUUCAUGUCACAAAUCAGCCAACAUUUGUGGCUUCCCUUGGUCCAAUGGCAAGCACCUACCCAUAAAAAUCCACUGCUAAGUUUAAUGUAUUGCAUCUGGGUGAGAGGUGGUGGUCAUUCUCCAGUUUCUGCUGCUUCGGAUUUAAUCCAGUGGGGCGAAUCCAUUAUUGUUUAAGGUGCAAUGCAUCUGUGAGGAGGACAUUUGAUUCUGCUGGCCGCUAUGCUCUCUCUUGUUGGAUCAACCUGUACAGACAUUGAUGGAUGUGCCCCAAGUGCUCAUUUUGGCUUCCAACAUCAGGACUUGUAGUGUAGGCCCUAUGAACAGUUAGGUUACUGGAUCUUUCAAAGAUCUUCCUGACCUCAAAACUAUUGCCAAUAACUACGCCAAGAGUGAAGUCGUACAGUUUCAGGAAGAGGAGAAGAGUUUGUACCUUCGUCCACGUUCAAGUGAGAAAACAGGCCAGCAGGAGAGCUACUGUGCCUGAUGAGAUUAGA